This 490-nucleotide ribosomal RNA is filed under the name uncultured bacterium. Its description in RNAcentral is "partial 16S ribosomal RNA". It matches the Rfam family "Bacterial small subunit ribosomal RNA", at positions 30 to 507 of the family's 1533-position model. The record is from RNAcentral.
AUUGAACGCUGGCGGCAGGCCUAACACAUGCAAGUCGAACGGUAACAGGAAGACGCUUGCUUCUUUGCUGACGAGUGGCGGACGGGUGAGUAAUGUCUGGGAAACUGCCUGAUGGAGGGGGAUAACUACUGGAAACGGUAGCUAAUACCGCAUAAUGUCGCAAGACCAAAGAGGGGGAUCUUCGGGCCUCUUGCCAUCGGAUGUGCCCAGAUGGGAUUAGCUAGUAGGGGGGGUCACGGCUCACCUAGGCGACGAUCCCUAGCUGGUCUGAGAGGAUGACAAGCCACACUGGAACUGAGACACGGUCCAGACUCCUACGGGAGGCAGCAGUGGGGAAUAUUGCACAAUGGGCGGAAGCCUGAUGCAGCUAUGCCGCGUGUAUGAAGAAGGCCUUCGGGUUGUAAAGUACUUUCAGCGGGGAGGAAGGAAGUAAAGGUAAUACCUUUGCUCAUUGACGUUACCCGCAGAAGAAGCACCGGCUAACUCCGUG